AGUGAACGCUGGCGGUAGGCCUAACACAUGCAAGUCGAACGGCAGCACAGUAAGAGCUUGCUCUUACGGGUGGCGAGUGGCGGACGGGUGAGGAAUACAUCGGAAUCUACUUUUUCGUGGGGGAUAACGUAGGGAAACUUACGCUAAUACCGCAUACGACCUACGGGUGAAAGCAGGGGAUCUUCGGACCUUGCGCGAUUGAUUGAGCCGAUGUCGGAUUAGCUAGUUGGCGGGGUAAAGGCCCACCAAGGCGACGAUGCGUAGCUGGUCUGAGAGGAUGAUCAGCCACACUGGAACUGAGACACGGUCCAGACUCCUACGGGAGGCAGCAGUGGGGAAUAUUGGACAAUGGGCGCAAGCCUGAUCCAGCCAUACCGCGUGGGUGAAGAAGGCCUUCGGGUUGUAAAGCCCUUUUGUUGGGAAAGAAAAGCAGCAGGUUAAUACCCCGCUGUUCUGACGGUACCCAAAGAAUAAGCACCGGCUAACUUCGUG
This 492-nucleotide ribosomal RNA is filed under the name uncultured bacterium. RNAcentral's name for it is "partial 16S ribosomal RNA". It matches the Rfam family "Bacterial small subunit ribosomal RNA", at positions 29 to 507 of the family's 1533-position model. The record is from RNAcentral.